RNAcentral lists this ribosomal RNA (497 nucleotides) under uncultured bacterium. Its description in RNAcentral is "partial 16S ribosomal RNA". It matches the Rfam family "Bacterial small subunit ribosomal RNA", at positions 28 to 507 of the family's 1533-position model. The record is from RNAcentral.
GAUGAACGCUGGCGGCGUGCCUAAUACAUGCAAGUCGAGCGAACAGACGAGGAGCUUGCUCCUCUGACGUUAGCGGCGGACGGGUGAGUAACACGUGGAUAACCUACCUAUAAGACUGGGAUAACUUCGGGAAACCGGAGCUAAUACCGUAUAAUAUAUUGAACCGCAUGGUUCAAUAGUGAAAGGCGGUUUUGCUGUCACUUAUAGAUGGAUCCGCGCCGCAUUAGCUAGUUGGUAAGGUAACGGCUUACCAAGGCAACGAUGCGUAGCCGACGUGAGAGGGUGAUCGGCCACACUGGAACUGAGACACGGUCCAGACUCCUACGGGAGGCAGCAGUAGGGAAUCUUCCGCAAUGGGCGAAAGCCUGACGGAGCAACGCCGCGUGAGUGAUGAAGGUCUUCGGAUCGUAAAACUCUGUUAUUAGGGAAGAACAAAUGUGUAAGUAACUAUGCACGUAUUGACGGUACCUAAUCAGAAAGCCACGGCUAACUACGUG